Molecule: ribosomal RNA, 446 nt
Filed under: uncultured bacterium
Lineage: Bacteria
Description: SSU rRNA
Rfam family: Bacterial small subunit ribosomal RNA
Source: RNAcentral
AGAGCGAACGCUGGCGGCAGGCCUAACACAUGCAAGUCGAGCGGCCGUAGCAAUACGGCAGCGGCAGACGGGAUAGUAACACGUGGGAACGCGCCCUUCGGUUCGGAAUAACUCAGGGAAACUUGAGCUAAUACCGGAUACGCCCUUACGGGGAAAGAUUUAUUGCCGAAGGAACGGCCCGCGUCCGAUUAGCUAGUUGGUGAGGUAAUGGCUCACCAAGGCUACGAUCGGUAGCUGGUCUGAGAGGAUGACCAGCAUCACUGGGACUGAGACACGGCCCAGACUCCUACGGGAGGCAGCAGUGGGGAAUAUUGGACAAUGGGCGCAAGCCUGAUCCAGCCAUGCCGCGUGGAUGAUGACGGCCUUAGGGUUGUAAAGUCCUUUUAACGGGGAAGAUAAUGACGGUACCGUAGAAUAAGCCCGGCUAACUUCGUGCCAGCAGCCGC